RNAcentral lists this ribosomal RNA (468 nucleotides) under uncultured bacterium. Its description in RNAcentral is "partial 16S ribosomal RNA". It matches the Rfam family "Bacterial small subunit ribosomal RNA", at positions 28 to 507 of the family's 1533-position model. The record is from RNAcentral.
GACGAACGCUGGCGGCGUGCUUAACACAUGCAAGUCGAACGGAAAGGCCCUGCUUUUGUGGGGUGCUCGAGUGGCGAACGGGUGAGUAACACGUGAGUAACCUGCCCUUGACUUUGGGAUAACUUCAGGAAACUGGGGCUAAUACCGGAUAUGAGCUCCUGCUGCAUGGUGGGGGAUGGAAAGUUUCGGCGGUUGGGGAUGGACUCGCGGCUUAUCAGCUUGUUGGUGGGGUAGGUGCUUACCAAGGCUUUGACGGGUAGCCGGCCUGAGAGGGUGACCGGCCACAUUGGGACUGAGAUACGGCCCAGACUCCUACGGGAGGCAGCAGUGGGGAAUAUUGCACAAUGGGCGGAAGCCUGAUGCAGCAACGCCGCGUGCGGGAUGACGGCCUUCGGGUUGUAAACCGCUUUCGCCUGUGACGAAGCGUGAGUGACGGUAAUGGGUAAAGAAGCACCGGCUAACUACGUG